RNAcentral lists this ribosomal RNA (301 nucleotides) under uncultured bacterium. RNAcentral describes it as "partial 16S ribosomal RNA". It matches the Rfam family "Bacterial small subunit ribosomal RNA", at positions 509 to 807 of the family's 1533-position model. The record is from RNAcentral.
CAGUCGCCACGGGAAUACGAAGGGUGCAAGCGUUACUCGGAAUUACUGGGCGUAAAGCGUGCGUAGGUGGUGAUUUAAGUCCGUUGUGAAAGCCCUGGGCUCAACCUGGGAAUUGCAGUGGAUACUGGGUCACUAGAGUGUGGUAGAGGAUAGUGGAAUUUCCGGUGUAGCAGUGAAAUGCGUAGAGAUCGGAAGGAACAUCUGUGGCGAAGGCGACCAUCUGGGCCAACACUGACACUGAGGCACGAAAGCGUGGGGAGCAAACAGGAUUAGAUACCCCAGUAGUCCCUGUCUCUUAUAC